Molecule: ribosomal RNA, 401 nt
Filed under: uncultured bacterium
Lineage: Bacteria
Description: bacterial SSU rRNA
Rfam family: Bacterial small subunit ribosomal RNA
Source: RNAcentral
GACGAACGCUGGCGGCGCGCUUAACACAUGCAAGUCGAGCGAGAACCAAGCCUUCGGGCCUGGGGAAAGCGGCGAACGGGUGAGUAACACGUGGGUAACCCACCCUUGGUACCGGGAUAGCCCGAGGAAACUCGGAUUAAUACCGGAUGGCCCAACAGCUUUUCGGAGCGGUUGGAAAAGGUAGCUUCGGCCUCCGACCAAGGACGGGCCCGCGGCGGAUUAGCUUGUUGGUGAGGUAACGGCUCACCAAGGCGACGAUCCGAGCUGGUCUGAGAGGACGAUCAGCCACACUGGGACUGAGACACGGCCCAGACUCCUACGGGAGGCAGCAGUGGGGAAUCUUGCGCAAUGGGCGAAAGCCUGACGCAGCGACGCCGCGUGGGGAAGAAGGCUUUCGGGCU